AGCUUCUACAAGGGGGUCUCCCAGGUCUUCAACAAGGUCCUCUAGGGGGGGUUCAACAGGGUUUAGGGCAAUUCAUAGGAGGAAUAAUUCCAACAAUCCAACAGGUAUUUGGACACGUUCUCGGGGCGGUGGGAGUCGCCAAACAGGCCCUUGCAAGACCUGCUACGACCUCAGCUGAUGGAAUUUCG
Long non-coding RNA from Ornithodoros turicata, 188 nucleotides. RefSeq lists it as uncharacterized. The transcript has 3 exons. NCBI's taxonomy places the organism in Eukaryota, Metazoa, Arthropoda, Arachnida, Ixodida, Argasidae. The record is from RefSeq and is a predicted model, not a curated record.